This 107-nucleotide small nucleolar RNA is filed under the name Theobroma cacao (cacao). Its description in RNAcentral is "Plant small nucleolar RNA R71". It matches the Rfam family "Plant small nucleolar RNA R71". Rfam says of the family: R71 is a member of the C/D box family of snoRNAs containing the C (UGAUGA) and D (CUGA) box motifs. Multiple nearly identical copies of this snoRNA have been identified in Arabidopsis, and it is thought to function as a 2'-O-ribose methylation guide for 18S ribosomal RNA. The record is from Rfam by way of RNAcentral. Lineage: Eukaryota; Viridiplantae; Streptophyta; Magnoliopsida; Malvales; Malvaceae.
AAACCAUGAUGUGAGCAACGCUUCAGUAAAUCCUUAUAUCUAUCCCAAGCUUCAUAUAAUGUCUCACCAUUAAACUAUAUGAACGAAGUGAUAUCGUUUCUCAUCAU